GAUUCAUCUAACAAUAAUGGUGAUAUCCAUAAUUUACAUUCCACUGUUAAUGACUCCUUUAUAUCAUCAACCAAUAAUGACAAUAUUUCUAAUUCUUGCACCAAAUGACUCCUUUCAUUCAUCUAGGAUAUUCCUAUAUCUCUCAGGUUGAUGAUAACUCUCUCAAUUCAUCCACCAAAAUGAUGAUAUCCCUAUUUCACACACC
Molecule: long non-coding RNA, 205 nt
Filed under: Mytilus galloprovincialis (Mediterranean mussel)
Lineage: Eukaryota; Metazoa; Mollusca; Bivalvia; Mytilida; Mytilidae
Source: RNAcentral